Molecule: ribosomal RNA, 254 nt
Filed under: uncultured bacterium
Lineage: Bacteria
Description: partial 16S ribosomal RNA
Rfam family: Bacterial small subunit ribosomal RNA
Source: RNAcentral
CACGUAGGGGGCAAGCGUUGUCCGGAAUCAUUGGGCGUAAAGAGCUCGUAGGCGGCUCAGUAAGUCGGGUGUGAAACCUCCAGGCUCAACCUGGAGACGCCACCCGAUACUGCUGUGGCUAGAGUCCAGUAGGGGAGUGUGGAAUUCCUGGUGUAGCGGUGAAAUGCGCAGAUAUCAGGAGGAACACCAGUGGCGAAGGCGGUGCUCUGGGCCGGAACUGACGCUGAGGAGCGAAAGCGCGGGGAGCAAACAGG